This 468-nucleotide ribosomal RNA is filed under the name uncultured bacterium. RNAcentral's name for it is "partial 16S ribosomal RNA". It matches the Rfam family "Bacterial small subunit ribosomal RNA", at positions 28 to 507 of the family's 1533-position model. The record is from RNAcentral.
GACGAACGCUGGCGGCGUGCCUAACACAUGCAAGUCGAACGGAAAGGCCCUGCUUUUGUGGGGUGCUCGAGUGGCGAACGGGUGAGUAACACGUGAGUAACCUGCCCUUGAAUUUGGGAUAACUUCAGGAAACUGGGGCUCAUACCGGAUAGGAGCUCCUGCUGCAUGGGGGGGGUUGGAAAGUUUCGGCGGUUGGGGCUGGACUCGCGGCUUAUCAGCUUGUUAGUGGGGUAGUGGCUUACCAAGGCUUUGACGGGUAGCCGGCCUGAGAGGGUGACCGGCCACAUUGGGACUGAGAGACGGCCCAGACGCCUACGGGAGGCAGCGGUGGGGAAUAUGGCACAAUGGGCGGAAGCCUGAGGCAGCAACGCCGCGUGCGGGAUGACGUCCUUCUGGGUGUAAACCGCUUUCGCCUGUGACGAGGCGUGAGUGACGGUAAUGGGUAAAGAAGCACCGGCUAACUACGUG